CAGUCCAGACUGAUCAGGCAAUAUUUCUUUACUUGGGAGAAAUAUGUGGCUGGGCCGUGAAAACGGCAGCAGAAGAAGCAAGAAGCGCAUCUGCGGGACAGU
RNAcentral lists this non-coding RNA (102 nucleotides) under bovine gut metagenome. Its description in RNAcentral is "NiCo riboswitch". It matches the Rfam family "NiCo (Nickel/Cobalt) riboswitch aptamer". The record is from RNAcentral.